GACGAACCGAGCGAACGUUGUUCGGAAUCACUGGGCUUAAAGGGCGCGUAGGCGGGCUGUCAAGUCUGGGGUGAAAUCCCACGGCUCAACCGUGGAACUGCCUUAGAUACUGACGGCCUCGAGGGAGAUAGGGGCGAGCGGAACUGUGAGUGGAGCGGUGAAAUGCGUUGAUAUUCACAGGAACUCCGGUGGCGAAGGCGGCCCACUGGAUCGGUACUGACGCUGAGGUGCGAAAGCGUGGGGAGCAAACAGG
RNAcentral lists this ribosomal RNA (253 nucleotides) under uncultured bacterium. RNAcentral describes it as "partial 16S ribosomal RNA". It matches the Rfam family "Bacterial small subunit ribosomal RNA", at positions 524 to 776 of the family's 1533-position model. The record is from RNAcentral.